This 509-nucleotide ribosomal RNA is filed under the name uncultured bacterium. Its description in RNAcentral is "bacterial SSU rRNA". It matches the Rfam family "Bacterial small subunit ribosomal RNA", at positions 18 to 518 of the family's 1533-position model. The record is from RNAcentral.
CCUGGCUUAGAUUGAACGCUGGCGGCAGGCGUUAACACAUGCAAGUCGAGCGGGGAUAGGGUGCUUGCACCUGAUUCCUAGCGGCGGACGGGUGAGUAAUGCUUAGGAAUCUGCCUAUUAGUGGGGGACAACGUUCCGAAAGGGACGCUAAUACCGCAUACGUCCUACGGGAGAAAGCAGGGGAUCUUCGGACCUUGCGCUAAUAGAUGGGCCUAAGUCGGAUUAGCUAGUUGGUGGGGUAAAGGCCUACCAAGGCGACGAUCUGUAGCGGGUCUGAGAGGAUGAUCCGCCACACUGGGACUGAGACACGGCCCAGACUCCUACGGGAGGCAGCAGUGGGGAAUAUUGGACAAUGGGGGCAACCCUGAUCCAGCCAUGCCGCGUGUUGUGAAGAAGGCCUUUUGGUUGUAAAGCACUUUAAGCGAGGAGGAGGCUUACCUGGUUAAUACCCGGGAUAAGUGGACGUUACUCGCAGAAUAAGCACCGGCUAACUCUGUGCCAGCAGCGGC